CAAAAGAGACACUAGUAAACAGAUUUUCCUGAGACAGCAAGUGACAUUAAUUUGUCUAAUUUCCUACAGGAUGUAGUCAACCAAGAGGAUAGGGCCUUCAAACCACCAGACAAGGAAGUGAGUCCUAAGGUUCUUAACCAAGUGGAUAGGGCCUUCAAACCACCAGACAAGGAAGUGAGUCCUAAGGUUCUUAACCAAGUGGAUAGGGCCUUCAAACCACCAGACAAGGAAGUGAGUCCUAAGGUUCUUAACCAAGUGGAUAGGGCCUUCAAACCACCAGACAAGGAAGUGAGUCCUAAGGUUCUUAACCAAGUGGAUAGGGCCUUCAAACCACCAGACAAGGAAGUGAGUCCUAAGGUUCUUAACCAAGUGGAUAGGGCCUUCAAACCACCAGACAAGGAAGUGAGUCCUAAGGUUCUUAACCAAGUGGAUAGGGCCUUCAAACCACCAGACAAGGAAGUGAGUCCUAAGGUUCUUAACCAAGUGGAUAGGGCCUUCAAACCACCAGACAAGGAAGUGAGUCCUAAGGUUCUUAACCAAGUGGAUAGGGCCUUCAAACCACCAGACAAGGAAGUGAGUCCUAAGGUUCUUAACCAAGUGGAUAGGGCCUUCAAACCACCAGACAAGGAAGUGAGUCCUAAGGUUCUUAACCAAGUGGAUAGGGCCUUCAAACCACCAGACAAGGAAGUGAGUCCUAAGGUUCUUAACCAAGUGGAUAGGGCCUUCAAACCACCAGACAAGGAAGUGAGUCCUAAGGUUCUUAACCAAGUGGAUAGGGCCUUCAAACCACCAGACAAGGAAGUGAGUCCUAAGGUUCUUAACCAAGUGGAUAGGGCCUUCAAACCACCAGACAAGGAAGUGAGUCCUAAGGUUCUUAACCAAGUGGAUAGGGCCUUCAAACCACCAAACAAGGAAGUGAGUCGU
This is a long non-coding RNA of Oncorhynchus keta (chum salmon), 924 nucleotides long. RefSeq lists it as uncharacterized. The record is from RefSeq and is a predicted model, not a curated record. The transcript is spliced from 5 exons. NCBI's taxonomy places the organism in Eukaryota, Metazoa, Chordata, Actinopteri, Salmoniformes, Salmonidae.